Molecule: ribosomal RNA, 431 nt
Filed under: uncultured bacterium
Lineage: Bacteria
Description: partial 16S ribosomal RNA
Rfam family: Bacterial small subunit ribosomal RNA
Source: RNAcentral
AACGAACGCUGGCGGCAGGCCUAACACAUGCAAGUCGAGCGCCCUUUCGGGGGAGCGGCGGACGGGUGAGUAACGCGUGGGAAUAUGCCCUUCUCUACGGAAUAGCCUCGGGAAACUGAGAGUAAUACCGUAUACGCCCUGUGGGGGAAAGAUUUAUCGGGGAAGGAUUAGCCCGCGUUGGAUUAGGUAGUUGGUGGGGUAAUGGCCUACCAAGCCGACGAUCCAUAGCUGGUUUGAGAGGAUGAUCAGCCACACUGGGACUGAGACACGGCCCAGACUCCUACGGGAGGCGGCAGUGGGGAAUCUUAGACAAUGGGGGCAACCCUGAUCUAGCCAUGCCGCGUGAGUGAUGAAGGCCUUAGGGUUGUAAAGCUCUUUCAGCUGGGAAGAUAAUGACGGUACCAGCAGAAGAAGCCCCGGCUAACUCCGUG